Long non-coding RNA from Carassius gibelio (silver crucian carp), 729 nucleotides. RefSeq lists it as uncharacterized. The record is from RefSeq and is a predicted model, not a curated record. Lineage: Eukaryota; Metazoa; Chordata; Actinopteri; Cypriniformes; Cyprinidae. The transcript is spliced from 3 exons.
AGGAGAUCUAUCAAAUGAUAUGCAUAUUGUGUUGAUAUGUGAAACACCACGUGAUUACAGAGCCAUAAAACUCGUUAGCGCCAACUAGUGGCCGAUUUCUUUCAAAAUUCUUACAGACCUUAAGGUUCAUGAGUCGAACGUACCCAGCGAGUUUCGUUCUGAUCAACAUCCGUUAACCCUUUCAAAUAGGUGCUUAAAUUUGUUUGGCCAAUGGCGGCCAUGUUUUUUGAGAUAUGCAAAUGUCCUCAUAGGUACUUGUGCCCCUUCAGACCAAGACACUGCAUACCGAUUUUCAAGUCGAUCGAGCCAACGGUUGCCUAGUUAUAGCAAUUUAUGUGUUUUUUCUAUCUUAUAGCGCCCCCAAGUGGUAGAGAUGUGCAAUUUUUUUUAUUUGACCAAAGAUUGAGCUCAUACAUAUGUGUACCGAGUUUGGUGAAGAUAUCUCAUUCCGUUCAAGAGUUAUAGUCAAAAUAGCAUUUGGCUAACGUUAGCAUAGACGCUUUUUGGUGUACUGUUUCGCGUAAGAAUUGAAAUUUCAACUUUUUUUUGAUAAUUAUUGAUAUUGAGUGUCCAGGGAAUAUUUAUGAAUUGGUUUGGUUCUGAUUGGUUGAAAAUCCUAGGACUAGUUCGCAAAAGUAGGUUUCGGAUAUAGCUCGAUUUUGCGAGAAAACGGUGCGUCGUAGACCCCAAAAAGGCGCCGUGCACUUUUGUUCGGGCUAACCCAAGGAU